GACGAACGCUGGCGGCGUGCCUAAUACAUGCCAGUAGAACGCUGAAGAGAGGAGCUUGCUCUUCUUGGAUGAGUUGCGAACGGGUGAGUAACGCGUAGGUAACCUGCCUUGUAGCGGGGGAUAACUAUUGGAAACGAUAGCUAAUACCGCAUAACAAUGGAUGACACAUGUCAUUUAUUUGAAAGGGGCAAUUGCUCCACUACAAGAUGGACCUGCGUUGUAUUAGCUAGUAGGUGAGGUAAUGGCUCACCUAGGCGACGAUACAUAGCCGACCUGAGAGGGUGAUCGGCCACACUGGGACUGAGACACGGCCCAGACUCCUACGGGAGGCAGCAGUAGGGAAUCUUCGGCAAUGGGGGCAACCCUGACCGAGCAACGCCGCGUGAGGGAAGAAGGGUUUCGGAUCGUAAAGCUCUGUUGUAAGUCAAGAACGGGUGUGAGAGUGGAAAGUUCACACUGUGACGGUAGCUUACCAGAAAGGGACGGCUAACUACGUG
Molecule: ribosomal RNA, 497 nt
Filed under: uncultured bacterium
Lineage: Bacteria
Description: partial 16S ribosomal RNA
Rfam family: Bacterial small subunit ribosomal RNA
Source: RNAcentral